ACGCAUCUCUUUGACAGACCUGGAGCAGUUAUGUCUGCUUUUAAGGUUUACACUAAGAUGCAAGAAAAAAUUUCCUCGCGCUUUCUUUCUGCCUGAUUGUGGCAGUCUAGAUUGAAUAGAGGAAUACAAGA
Small nucleolar RNA from Monodelphis domestica (gray short-tailed opossum), 131 nucleotides. Lineage: Eukaryota; Metazoa; Chordata; Mammalia; Didelphimorphia; Didelphidae. The record is from Ensembl.